This 253-nucleotide ribosomal RNA is filed under the name uncultured bacterium. RNAcentral's name for it is "partial 16S ribosomal RNA". It matches the Rfam family "Bacterial small subunit ribosomal RNA", at positions 524 to 776 of the family's 1533-position model. The record is from RNAcentral.
UACGUAGGGUGCAGGCGUUAAUCGGAAUUACUGGGCGUAAAGCGUGCGCAGGCGGUCUUUUAAGUCAGAUGUGAAAUCCCCGGGCUUAACCUGGGAACUGCGUUUGAAACUGGAAGGCUUGAGUGUGGCAGAGGGGGGUGGAAUUCCACGUGUAGCAGUGAAAUGCGUAGAGAUGUGGAGGAACACCGAUGGCGAAGGCAGCCCCCUGGGCUAACACUGACGCUCAUGCACGAAAGCGUAGGGAGCAAACAGG